Long non-coding RNA from Homarus americanus (American lobster), 1792 nucleotides. RefSeq lists it as uncharacterized. NCBI's taxonomy places the organism in Eukaryota, Metazoa, Arthropoda, Malacostraca, Decapoda, Nephropidae. The transcript has 2 exons. The record is from RefSeq and is a predicted model, not a curated record.
GGAGGGCUAGUACGUGUGUACAACAGUGCUGACAGUGUAUUCCUUCAAUUUGAUAUUUGAUAAUGGCUAAUUUCUUCUUCGUACGGCCAACUUACUGCUUCUGUAUUCAUCUAAUUUACCAUCCAUAGAUAGAUAAAGCGAUGCCAAAAAUAUAUCAUAUAUAAGUAUUGUGAACACAUCUGGCAUUUAUGGACGGUAAAGAACGAUUACAAUAAUUGCUUAUCAUAUGCCUUUUUCUUUAUUAAUGGAGAAGUGUGACGUUGUAGUGUUACAUAUUUUUCAAAACACAAACAAUAACAGUAUAAACAGUUCUGAAUACCUAAUACCUGAAUACCUGAAUACCUGAGUACUUAAUCAAUAAGAGUACAACUCAGACAUGGCAACUUGAGGAAUACGUAUCGCUGAAGCACUCUUGCGAGCUGAGAGAACAGUGUCAGUAGGCAAUACGGUGCUCGCUUCAGUAGUGCCUAUUGUCUCUAGCAGGUGACGUCUUAUCAAACUGAAGAACAAGAAGAAAAUUUCGAAACCAAAAAAGGAUUCGCAUGGAAAAGACCAUGAGUGACCAGGACAGUGGUGAUCCCCAACAACAGGGAGUCGUCAUUGUGUAUGAAGAUGGGACUGGUAUUCGUUUAAACAACUCUGAUUUUCAUUGGUUUGGAGAUCACUGCAUUCGGUUGCUUGAAGAAGUACGACAGGAGCGCCUGAUAAAUCAGGAACUUAAGAACCACUUGGCACAGCUGCUCAAAAUGGCACUAGACCCAAAUUUCCAGUCUCCUUUCUUUCAGUAAGCAGUGUUUUAUAUAUUGCAUGCAUUUAAACAUGAGAUUAUUGACGUAAAUGAUAAAUAAGUUUCAAAGUUUAUGGUGGUAGAAGAAAAUACUCGCAUGCAGCCAAGGAUAAAUAAAUAAAUAAAUCAGGUGCCACUAAAAGGGUUCAGAGUCUCACUUAUGGAGAUUAGCCCACCCGGACACAAGUCACCGACCCACAUCGGGGGCUGGGGGAUGAAAAUAAAAAUGCACCAGAAAUAAAUCCAGAAAUGGAAAAAAUAAAUCAGACUAAAAGAGUUAUGUGUUUUGCUGUCAAAGUAAGAGAAACAAUUGAGACCCUGCAAUUGUCUGUAAAUGAGGCAGAAAGUCAGUCAAUUCAGCAACCUGGGACUUGGUAAAAAAAAUAAAUAAAAAAUUAUGUAAUGUGGCAGCAGGGUCUAACAAUAGACAACACAUUUUGCGUUCAAUUAUUUUCCUAGUCAGUAGUACCUCCCUGUUUGAAAGCUGUCUACUACUUACCUAGGAACCUACUGUUCAUACUACAAUAUCACUUGGCUCAAUAUCAAUUUUGUUCUCAUUAUCCACUGUGUAAAUUUAAAGCAUACAAUACAAGAUUACCCAUUGUAACUGGUAGAUAUCAAAAUAUUUCAAGAGAGAAUUUGUGUUAAAUGUGGUUAUAAUGUUAUUGGAGCCGAUUAUCAGUUUAUUCUAGAGUGUAACGAUCAAGAAAUCAAGGGAAGAGAUGCAAGUAUAUCCCAAGAUUUUACAGAAACCAUCAAAUUCGUUUCAAAUUGGGUAAAUUAAUGCAACAGACUAGUAUAAAAACUAUCCAUAAAAUAGCUGUGUUUGUGAAGUUUCUAAAUAGGUUUGGACUUUAGGCAGAUAAUGUAUGUGAUGAAUUAGUCAUAAUUACAAUCAUGUUUUGAUAUGUAAAUGUAUUAAUUGUAAAUUGGUAUUAUGAUAUGUGAUUGUAAAAGUCUGAGCCAAAUAAAUUUGUCUAUAUCAAUAUCCAAGAUACAACCAGA